Molecule: signal recognition particle RNA, 295 nt
Filed under: Saimiri boliviensis boliviensis (Bolivian squirrel monkey)
Lineage: Eukaryota; Metazoa; Chordata; Mammalia; Primates; Cebidae
Description: Metazoan signal recognition particle RNA (ENSSBOG00000003273.1)
Rfam family: Metazoan signal recognition particle RNA
About the family: The signal recognition particle (SRP) is a universally conserved ribonucleoprotein. It is involved in the co-translational targeting of proteins to membranes. The eukaryotic SRP consists of a 300-nucleotide 7S RNA and six proteins: SRPs 72, 68, 54, 19, 14, and 9.
Source: RNAcentral
GCCAGGCGUGGUGGUGCGUGCCUGUAGUCCCAGCUACUCGGGAGGCUGAGGUGGGAGGAUCGCUUGAGCCCAGGAGUUCUGGGCUGUAGUGCACUAUGCUGAUCGGGUGUCCGCACUAAGUUCGGCAUCAAUAUGGUGACCUCCCGGGAGCGGGGGACCACCAGGUUGUCUGGUGAGUGAACUGGCCCAGGUCGGAAACAGAGCAGGUCAAAACUCCCGUGCUGAUCAAUAGUGGGAUCACACCUGUGAAUAGCCACUGCACUCCAGCCUGGGCAACAUAGUGAGACCCAUCUCU